UACGGGAGGGGCGAGUGUUAUUCGAAAUGACUGGGCGUAAAGGGCGUGUAGGUGGUCAGUUACGUCUUAUUGGCAAAGUGUAGGACUUAAUUCUACUAUUCCAUUUGAAACGAACUGACUUUGAGUGAGGUAGAGGACGAUAGAAUUUUUUGUGUAACAGCAAUAUGUUUGUAUACAAAGAGGAAUGCCGAUGCGAAGGCGAUUGUCCAGACCUAUACUGACACUGAAACGCGAAAGCAUGGGGAUCAAAUCGG
Molecule: ribosomal RNA, 254 nt
Filed under: uncultured bacterium
Lineage: Bacteria
Description: partial 16S ribosomal RNA
Rfam family: Bacterial small subunit ribosomal RNA
Source: RNAcentral